RNAcentral lists this ribosomal RNA (886 nucleotides) under uncultured Actinomyces sp. RNAcentral's name for it is "bacterial SSU rRNA". It matches the Rfam family "Bacterial small subunit ribosomal RNA". Lineage: Bacteria; Bacillati; Actinomycetota; Actinomycetes; Actinomycetales; Actinomycetaceae. The record is from RNAcentral.
GAUGAACGCUGGCUACAGGCUUAACACAUGCAAGUCGUGGGGAAACGGCAUUAUGUGCUUGCACAUUCUGGACGUCGACCGGCGCACGGGUGAGUAUCGCGUAUCCAACCUGCCCCUUACUUGGGGAUACCCCGUUGAAAGACGGCCUAAUACCCGAUGUGUUUCAUUGACGGCAUCCGAUAUGAAACAAAGGUUUUCCGGUAAGGGAUGGGGAUGCGUCUGAUUAGCUUGUUGGCGGGGCAACGGCCCACCAAGGCGACGAUCAGUAGGGGUUCUGAGAGGAAGGUCCCCCACAUUGGAACUGAGACACGGUCCAAACUCCUACGGGAGGCAGCAGUGAGGAAUAUUGGUCAAUGGACGCAAGUCUGAACCAGCCAAGUAGCGUGCAGGAUGACGGCCCUAUGGGUUGUAAACUGCUUUUAUGUGGGAAUAAAGUGGCGCACGUGUGCGCCAUUGCAUGUACCUCAUGAAUAAGGACCGGCUAAUUCCGUGCCAGCAGCCGCGGUAAUACGGAAGGUCCGGGCGUUAUCCGGAUUUAUUGGGUUUAAAGGGAGUGUAGGCGGUCUGUUAAGCGUGUUGUGAAAUUUAGGUGCUCAACAUUUAACUUGCAGCGCGAACUGUCAGACUUGAGUACACGCAGCGCAGGCGGAAUUCAUGGUGUAGCGGUGAAAUGCUUAGAUAUCAUGAGGAACUCCCUAUCGCGAAGGCAGCCUGCGUGAGUGUUACUGACGCUUAAGCUCGAAGGUGCGGUGUAUCGAACAGGAUUAUAUACCCUGGUAGUCCAAGGGCGAAUUCCACAGUGGAUAUCAAGCUUAUCGAUACCGUCGACCUCGAGAGGGGGCCCGUGUACCCAGCUGUUGUUCCCUUUAGUGAAUGGUUAAUUAUG